ACCAACGACUGUGCCACGUUGAGUACACCAGUUCUCGUCUGAUCACUGAAGCUAAGAGCGUGGUUAGUUCUUGGAUGGGUGACUGUUUGGGAGAUCACGUGUUGUUGGUU
Molecule: ribosomal RNA, 110 nt
Filed under: Olea europaea subsp. europaea
Lineage: Eukaryota; Viridiplantae; Streptophyta; Magnoliopsida; Lamiales; Oleaceae
Source: RNAcentral